AGCAAUCUGCCCAUAUCUGGGGGAUAACAGUUGGAAACGACUGAUAAUACCGCAUAACAUGGUUUGAAGGCAUCUUCUUUCCAUCAAAGAUUUAUCGGAUAUGGAUGAGCUCGCGUCUGAUUAGCUUGUUGGUGAGGUAACGGCUCACCAAGGCGACGAUCAGUAGCCGACCUGAGAGGGUGAUCGGCCACAUUGGAACUGAGACACGGUCCAAACUCCUACGGGAGGCAGCAG
This 234-nucleotide ribosomal RNA is filed under the name uncultured bacterium. RNAcentral describes it as "partial 16S ribosomal RNA". It matches the Rfam family "Bacterial small subunit ribosomal RNA", at positions 120 to 354 of the family's 1533-position model. The record is from RNAcentral.